This 467-nucleotide ribosomal RNA is filed under the name uncultured bacterium. Its description in RNAcentral is "partial 16S ribosomal RNA". It matches the Rfam family "Bacterial small subunit ribosomal RNA", at positions 28 to 507 of the family's 1533-position model. The record is from RNAcentral.
GACGAACGCUGGCGGCGUGCUUAACACAUGCAAGUCGAACGGAAAGGCUCCAGCUUGCUGGAGUACUCGAGUGGCGAACGGGUGAGUAACACGUGGGUAAUCUGCCCUGCACUCUGGGAUAAGCCUGGGAAACUGGGUCUAAUACUGGAUAUGACCUUUCUCCUUAUGGGGUUUGGUGGAAAGUUUUUCGGUGUAGGAUGAGCCCGCGGCCUAUCAGCUUGUUGGUGGGGUGAUGGCCUACCAAGGCGACGACGGGUAGCCGGCCUGAGAGGGUGAUCGGCCACAUUGGGACUGAGAUACGGCCCGGACUCCUACGGGAGGCAGCAGUGGGGAAUAUUGCACAAUGGGCGGAAGCCUGAUGCAGCGACGCCGCGUGAGGGAUGACGGCCUUCGGGUUGUAAACCUCUUUCAGCAGGGACGAAGCGUAAGUGACGGUACCUGCAGAAGAAGCACCGGCUAACUAUGUG